Molecule: unclassified non-coding RNA, 228 nt
Filed under: Hevea brasiliensis (rubber tree)
Lineage: Eukaryota; Viridiplantae; Streptophyta; Magnoliopsida; Malpighiales; Euphorbiaceae
Source: RNAcentral
ACUGUCUCCUUUUUCUCGUUUUUUUCUUCCUUUCUGUUUCUUACUCCAAAUCUUCAGACGCCAUCGUUAUUCUUUUUAUUUAUUUUCCAUCCAAAUUUGUUUUUCUUUUCUCCGAUCACUUGAGAAGAUAUCUGUAGUCCACUGUUCAGCCACAACGUCGUCGUUUUUUGGUUUAACGGAUAGUGAUGCCGGAGAUGGGAGCAGUAGACCAAGAAGGAAUUGCUCGGC